GGGUUGCUAGUAGUUCAGUUUGUCAAGAAUCCUAUAAGGGUUUCUUCAAAGAUCCCAGGGAGCCAGAUUCAGUCCGAAUGACUGACUGAGGCUCAGGAAAAAUGCAUCAGUAGUGUAGCUGAGGAAUGCAUAUCAGGGUGGAAACAGAAUGACAUAGUCAUAGUAAAGCAGGACACAAGCCUGAGGUGGUCCUGGGAGGUCCCUGAACAGAACAGCAAAACUGUUUUAUGGGCUUGGUGAAACAAGUGGCAAACAUACAGCAGAACUCUAAAGGCUGUCUUAAAGAAAGAAUACCUGUCCUCACAAUCGCACAAUACACACAGCAGAGACAAUUGCACAUAUACUGUACACAUGUACUGUACACAUAUGUGGACAAAACAGGCACAACUGUACUACUGCAAGCACACACCAGAAACAACUCCACACAGCUGCACACACACCACACCAGUAUUGCCAGGGUUACCUGAAGGAUGACCUCGUGCUUGUCUCCCCACAGCCAGUGGUUGAACAUCCUGCGCAAGGUGAAGGAGUGUUAGCCUGAGGUGGAGUGGUGUCGGUGUUGUUCGUGUUGUGCGCGUUGAGAGGGGACCUGCACUAAGCCUGACUGUGUUACUCUGCCACUCAGAGCACGUCCUCCCCCCGUUCUCCUCUGUACUCCUGCAAGCGCCACAUGACUUCACCCCCGCAGCUGAGCGACAGGGGAGCCCUCGGCCAGGCCGCCUCCCAGAAGGAGCAGGGCUCUGUCUCUCCUCGUGCUGUGAGUGGAGGGACCUCUCCCCGCUCGGCCAGGUGUCUGCGUCACGGCUCAGGCGUUGAGUCCCGGCGCGCCGUGCGCGCGGUCUGCCUCCUCAUGGGGGGGGCAGCUGCUUCCUCUGCACUGGGGUACCUGGGAUCCUGUAACCCCCCAGCCACCACGGCCGCAGGCCAUACCCCUGAAAUCCAGCCACCUGCUGAAUUGAGGGAGCUGGGGUACCACCCUGCCGUACUCUCACCCGACCCUGAGGCAUCACACUUCACCACCUUUGAGUUUGAGGGCGACCAGGACUUUGAUGCCUUCGACUGCGGGGGGUUUGCAUUCUAAAGGUGCUCGAUGUGUUCACUUGCAAGUAAGGGUCCAUUUGUCAUUGAAAAACCAUGUAUUCUGACAGGCUAUUCUAAGUAAAUUAAGAUAGUCUGAAUACAGUAACUGACUAUUUUGGAUAGCUGUAUUCUAAACUGGUACUGCAUAUUGUGUUAAAAUUAUUUGAAUGCCUCGGGCACUAUCCAGAAUAACAAUAUGAUGAUGAUGUAAUGCCUGGUGCAGUUCUCGUAGCUGGGGUAUAACUGAAAAAACCCUGUAUUUUUUUACAUUUUGUCAGUCCACAUUGUACAAGCUUAACUUUAAAAUCAUUGGAAUGGCCAAAUGCAGCUUGGAAUUGACAAAUGCAAAGGCAAAGCCUUAAAAUAUUGGACAGAGAAUGACUUUGUUCUCCCUGGACAUGAUUGUCCUGCUGAUAAUUUAAAAAAAAAGGAAAGACAGGGUUGUUAGUGACCAAAUGGAUUACCUUUUUUUUUGGGGUGUUGCUAUGGUUUCUAUGUACCUGUAUGGAAUGUUUCUGGGAGUUCUGGGAGUGAUUGCUGUGCAAGUUACUCACUGCUGAACUCCAAUAAAGCCCUCAACAGCUCUUAAAAAGCAAAUGACAUGUUAAGGCUGAAUACAUCUUGAACAGCUGUUAUUACAUUCCUGUAUUCCUGUGAUCAAAUGUAUUCAAAAUUUCAACCAGGUAGAUUUCUAAUA
Lepisosteus oculatus (spotted gar) is the source of this 1777-nucleotide long non-coding RNA. The record is from Ensembl. Lineage: Eukaryota; Metazoa; Chordata; Actinopteri; Semionotiformes; Lepisosteidae.